RNAcentral lists this ribosomal RNA (492 nucleotides) under uncultured bacterium. Its description in RNAcentral is "partial 16S ribosomal RNA". It matches the Rfam family "Bacterial small subunit ribosomal RNA", at positions 29 to 507 of the family's 1533-position model. The record is from RNAcentral.
AGUGAACGCUGGCGGUAGGCCUAACACAUGCAAGUCGAACGGCAGCACAGUAAGAGCUUGCUCUUACGGGUGGCGAGUGGCGGACGGGUGAGGAAUACAUCGGAAUCUACUUUUUCGUGGGGGAUAACGUAGGGAAACUUACGCUAAUACCGCAUACGACCUACGGGUGAAAGCAGGGGAUCUUCGGACCUUGCGCGAUUGAAUGAGCCGAUGUCGGAUUAGCUAGUUGGCGGGGUAAAGGCCCACCAAGGCGACGAUCCGUAGCUGGUCUGAGAGGAUGAUCAGCCACACUGGAACUGAGACACGGUCCAGACUCCUACGGGAGGCAGCAGUGGGGAAUAUUGGACAAUGGGCGCAAGCCUGAUCCAGCCAUACCGCGUGGGUGAAGAAGGCCUUCGGGUUGCAAAGCCCUUUUGUUGGGAAAGAAAAGCAGCAGGUUAAUACCCCGCUGUUCUGACGGUACCCAAAGAAUAAGCGCCGGCUAACUUCGUG